GGCCUCGUAGCUCAGUGGUCAGAGCACCGGCCCGUCACGCCGGAAGCCGCGGGUUCGAAUCCCGCCGAGGCCGCCG
This 76-nucleotide transfer RNA is filed under the name Actinomadura sp. CNU-125. RNAcentral describes it as "tRNA-Asp". It matches the Rfam family "tRNA". From Rfam's summary of the family: Transfer RNA (tRNA) molecules are approximately 80 nucleotides in length. Lineage: Bacteria; Bacillati; Actinomycetota; Actinomycetes; Streptosporangiales; Thermomonosporaceae. The record is from RNAcentral.